GAUGAACGCUGGCGGCGUGCCUAAUACAUGCAAGUCGAGCGAACAGACGAGGAGCUUGCUCCUCUGACGUUAGCGGCGGACGGGUGAGUAACACGUGGAUAACCUACCUAUAAGACUGGGAUAACUUCGGGAAACCGGAGCUAAUACCGGAUAAUAUAUUGAACCGCAUGGUUCAAUAGUGAAAGACGGUUUUGCUGUCACUUAUAGAUGGAUCCGCGCCGCAUUAGCUAGUUGGUAAGGUAACGGCUUACCAAGGCAACGAUGCGUAGCCGACCUGAGAGGGUGAUCGGCCACACUGGAACUGAGACACGGUCCAGACUCCUACGGGAGGCAGCAGUAGGGAAUAUUCCGCAAAGGGCGAAAGCCUGACGGAGCAACGCCGCGUGAGUGAUGAAGGUCUUCGGAUCGUAAAACUCUGUUAUUAGGGAAGAACAGAUGUGUAAGUAACUAUGCAUGUCUUGACGGUACCUAAUCAGAAAGCCACGGCUAACUACGUG
This 497-nucleotide ribosomal RNA is filed under the name uncultured bacterium. RNAcentral describes it as "partial 16S ribosomal RNA". It matches the Rfam family "Bacterial small subunit ribosomal RNA", at positions 28 to 507 of the family's 1533-position model. The record is from RNAcentral.